Molecule: ribosomal RNA, 431 nt
Filed under: uncultured bacterium
Lineage: Bacteria
Description: partial 16S ribosomal RNA
Rfam family: Bacterial small subunit ribosomal RNA
Source: RNAcentral
AACGAACGCUGGCGGCAGGCCUAACACAUGCCAGUCGAGCGAGGACUUCGGUUCUAGCGGCGGACGGGUGAGUAACGCGUGGGAAUGUGCCCUUCUCUACGGAAUAGCCCUGGGAAACUGGGAGUAAUACCGUAUACGCCCUUUUGGGGAAAGAUUUAUCGGAGAAGGAUCAGCCCGCGUUGGAUUAGGUAGUUGGUGGGGUAAUGGCCUACCAAGCCGACGAUCCAUAGCUGGUUUGAGAGGAUGAUCAGCCACACUGGGACUGAGACACGGCCCAGACUCCUACGGGAGGCAGCAGUGGGGAAUCUUAGACAAUGGGGGCAACCCUGAUCUAGCCAUGCCGCGUGAGUGAUGAAGGCCUUAGGGUUGUAAAGCUCUUUCAGCUGGGAAGAUAAUGACGGUACCAGCAGAAGAAGCCCCGGCUAACUCCG